Molecule: ribosomal RNA, 301 nt
Filed under: uncultured bacterium
Lineage: Bacteria
Description: partial 16S ribosomal RNA
Rfam family: Bacterial small subunit ribosomal RNA
Source: RNAcentral
CAGUCGCCACGGUAAUACGAAGGGGGCUAGCGUUGCUCGGAAUGACUGGGCGUAAAGGGCGCGUAGGCGGCGGCCAAAGUCAGGCGUGAAAUUCCCGGGCUCAACCUGGGGGCUGCGUUUGAUACUUGGUUGCUUGAGUGGGGAAGAGGGUCGUGGAACUCCCAGUGUAGAGGUGAAAUUCGUAGAUAUUGGGAAGAACACCGGUGGCGAAGGCGGCGACCUGGUCCUUUACUGACGCUGAGGCGCGAAAGCGUGGGGAGCAAACAGGAUUAGAUACCCCUGUAGUCCCUGUCUCUUAUAC